RNAcentral lists this ribosomal RNA (1809 nucleotides) under Triticum aestivum (bread wheat). Its description in RNAcentral is "partial small subunit ribosomal RNA". Lineage: Eukaryota; Viridiplantae; Streptophyta; Magnoliopsida; Poales; Poaceae. The record is from RNAcentral.
AUGCCCCAAUUUGAAGCCGAUUUGGCAGCUCUGGAACGUGAUCCCGACAAGCCACUUCCCAUAUCUUCGUAUCAUGCCAAUGACCAAGAUAGAGUUAGAAGGAGAUACAUUGACUUGGGUGCUUGUCAACCAAAGGAUCAUAAGUUUGAGAUCAGAGAUUUUAGUGGACAUCCCCGUCGCUUUUGCCUUACUUGGUUUAAGGAUCAUAAGUGGCUUGAGUAUAGUGUGCAAGAAGAGGCUGCUUUCUGCUUUGUUUGCUACUUGUUCAAGGAUAAAACAAAGAGUUCCGGAGGAGAUGCAUUUGUGAACGGUGGGUUUAAUAAUUGGAACUUGAAAGCUAGAUUGAAGAGGCAUAUUCGUGCUGUUAGUAGUGCUCACGCUGAAGCUCAAGAAAAGUAUAAUAUGUUCACUACACCUACAACAUCAAUUAGGGAGUCCAUUGCUUCAAACACCACACAGUACAAGGUUCUAUAUAAGCUCCGUGUGACAUGGACACUCAAGUGUUUAAGAUUCCUAUUGCACCAAGGUUUGGCAUUUAGAGGACAUGAUGAAAGUUAUGACUCACUAAAUAAAGGAAAAUUCCUUGAGCUUUUAAAUUGGCUAGCAGGAAACUUUGAAGAGGUUGAUAGGGUGGUUCUAAAGAAUGCUCCACAAAAUUGUAAGAAAAAUCCCCAUGAUAUACAACAAGAGUUGAUCAAAUGUUGUGCCCAGCUGACUACUAAACUAGUCAUUGAAGAUCUUGAUGGUGGACAUUUUGCAGUACUUGCAGAUGAGUCUAGUGAUAUGUACCAGAAUGAACAACUAGCUGUUUUCUUGCGUUAUGUGGAUAAGAAAGGAAGGACAGUUGUGAGAUUUCUUGGUCUUGCCCAUGUUGAAGACACUUCCUCUUUGACACUUAAAGCUGCAAUUGAGGACAUGCUUAUGACAUACAAUUUGAGCUUUGCAAUGGUCCGUGGGCAAGGAUAUGAUGGGGCUAGUAAUAUGAAAGGUAAUGCUAAUGGCCUGAAGAAACUAAUUAUGGAUGAGUCUCCUUAUGCCUAUUAUGUCCAUUGCUUUGCCCAUCAACUACAAUUAACUCUUGUUGCUGUUGCAAAGGAGAGUGGUGAUUGUAAUUGGUUAUUUCAACAUCUGGCAUGUUUGCUAAAUGUUCUACGCUAUUCUUGUAAAAAGAUGAGAAUGCUUCGAAUAGCUCAAGCUGAGGAACUUAUUGCUGCAUUAGAGUUGGAAGAAGUAGAAACAGGGACGGAUUUGAAUCAAGAAAUGGGUAUUGGAAGGCCAUGUGAUACACGUUGGGUCUCUCACUACAAGACUGUCAACCAUGUUAUCUCUAUGUAUCCGGCAAUAAGGCGUGUUCUCAUAAGGGUUGCAAAAGAGUAUAAUGGCACAGAGGUAGUAGCAGCAAUGACUAUGUUGACAUCAUUUUGGACAUUUGAAUUUGUUUUCAUGGCACACUUGAUGCAAGAAAUAUUUGAAUACACCGAUGACUUGAGUAGAGCUUUGCAAAAGAAAGAUCAAGAUAUUGUUAAUGCUAUGGAGAUUGUUGAUCUCACAAAGCUGCACUUGCAAUGCUUGCGAGAAGAUGAAGGGUGGAAUGAUUUUCUUCAGAAUGUCACUUCUUUUUGUGUAAAGCACAAGAUCAAAGUUGUUGACAUGGAGGCUCCUUACUAUCCUGCUAGGAGACCAAGAAGAGGGUUCUUCAAUGGCGCAAAGAAUUACCAACUCUUCAAGGUUGAAAUGUUUGUGGGUGUCAUUGAUAGGCAACUUCAAGAGCUGAAUGCAAGAUUCUUCAAGAGCAUUCAGUCCACGUGA